Molecule: ribosomal RNA, 440 nt
Filed under: uncultured bacterium
Lineage: Bacteria
Description: partial 16S ribosomal RNA
Rfam family: Bacterial small subunit ribosomal RNA
Source: RNAcentral
CCUACGGGAGGCAGCAGUGGGGGAUAUUGCACAAUGGGGGGAACCCUGAUGCAGCGACGCCGCGUGGGUGAAGAAGCACCUCGGCGCGUAAAGCCCUGUCAGCAGGGAAGAAAAUGACGGUACCUGAAGAAGAAGCCCCGGCUAACUACGUGCCAGCAGCCGCGGUAAUACGUAGGGGGCAAGCGUUAUCCGGAUUUACUGGGUGUAAAGGGAGUGUAGGCGGCCUUGUAAGUUAGAUGUGAAAUCCUACGGCUUAACCGUAGAACUGCAUCUAAAACUGUGAGGCUGGAGUGCAGGAGAGGUGAGUGGAAUUCCUAGUGUAGCGGUGGAAUGCGUAGAUAUUAGGAGGAACACCAGAGGCGAAGGCGACUCACUGGACUGUAACUGACGCUGAGGCUCGAAAGCGUGGGGAGCAAACAGGAUUAGAUACCCGAGUAGUC